This 435-nucleotide ribosomal RNA is filed under the name uncultured bacterium. Its description in RNAcentral is "bacterial SSU rRNA". It matches the Rfam family "Bacterial small subunit ribosomal RNA", at positions 29 to 460 of the family's 1533-position model. The record is from RNAcentral.
AUUGAACGCUGGCGGCAUGCCUUACACAUGCAAGUCGAACGGCAGCGCGGGGGCAACCCUGGCGGCGAGUGGCGAACGGGUGAGUAAUAUAUCGGAACGUACCCAAGAGUGGGGGAUAACGUAGCGAAAGUUACGCUAAUACCGCAUACGAUCUAAGGAUGAAAGUGGGGGACCGCAAGGCCUCACGCUCCUGGAGCGGCCGAUAUCUGAUUAGCUAGUUGGUGGGGUAAAGGCCUACCAAGGCAUCGAUCAGUAGCUGGCCUGAGAGGACGACCAGCCACACUGGGACUGAGACACGGCCCAGACUCCUACGGGAGGCAGCAGUGGGGAAUUUUGGACAAUGGGGGGCAACCCUGAUCCAGCAAUGCCGCGUGAGUGAAGAAGGCCUCGGUUGGUAAAGUACGUCUUUUGUUCUAGGGAAGAAACGGUUAGGGG